ACCAAAAGUUUGUUCCUUCAGCCAGGCGCCGUGGUUGGCAGGCUCGGAGGAGAAGACCUCGGGCAUAGAUAACGGUGCCAGGCGGCAAUGGCAGUCUUUCCGCAGCAACAGUGCGUACUGCUGAGCAUAUUGUGUAUGUGCUUCCGGAAAACCGUUUUCUUGUAGACAUGGUGUCGAUCGCAAAAGCGCCUCUGGCUUGAGCUUUUUGGCGUUUCUCAGCCCCGUUUGUUUACUUACUUCAUGCCAUUGUUUUGAGUUGUCGUCUCACUGCGCCUGGCCUGGAACUCACUUACGUAGACCAGCCAGGCUGGCCUCAGAGCUUGCAGUGAUUUCUCUGCCUCUGCAGGUUUGUGCCCACAGCACUUGCGGUUGCCUUUUUGUAAAUAAAUGUGUGUGGGUGUUUUGGAUGUUUGUAUAGGUGUGCGCCACGUGUGCUUUUUGGAGUCCAUGGAGGCCAAAAGAAGGCUAUGGAUUCCUCUGGGACCGACGGUUAUGAUUUGCUUUGUGGAGCUGGGAAUUGAGCCCAGGUCCUUUGGCAGAGCAGUUAGAGUGCUUAAGCACUCACUGAGGCAUCUCUCCAGCCCCGCAGUUACAUUUGACCUUGCACUCCACAUUUCCCCUGCUUCAGUCUCCUUAGUGCUACUUCACCUAGCCUAAUCAUUUCCAUUUUAGACUAGGGAUUUUACAUCCCAAACCAUGGAAGCUAUAUCUACCUCUGUAUCUAAUCUAUAUCUAUACUCUAUGGUAUAUAUCUAUAUAUAUUCGCUGCUAUAUAAAUAAAAGCUGAAGAAUUGCUGCCUAACGACAUUCUAAUAUAGUAAGUGCACCAUGCUUUUAUGGAUAUUUUUGUGGUGAUUUGAACAAACAGUACUUCCAGUCAAAGUACAAUGCACACAGAUAUGCUCAGCACACAGCAUUUAAACUCUCAUGGAGGAGAGCAUGGCAGCAGGCAGGCAUGAGUGGCCUUGAAGCAGCAGCUGAGGUCUUACAAUAGAGAAAGACUGGGCCGGCCUCUAGUCACUUCUAGUGACACAUCUUCAACAAGGGCCACAUACUCCAACAAGGCCACACCUCCUAGUCCUUCCCAAAACAGUUCCACUAACUAGGGACCUAGCAUUCAAACACAUGAACUUAUGGGGCCCAAACCACCACAUUAUUGAUUUUUGUUUUUUUCUUUUAUUCUCUCCCCUCCUUUUUGAAACCUGGCUAACCUGGGACUUUCUUUAUAGACCCAUGUUGGAUGAUUCACAACUACCAUAACUAGCUCUAAGGGGCCCAGUAACCUUUUUUCUAGCCUCUAUUAAGCACCUGCAUAAUGUGGUCCCUAUACACAUACACACAUGAACACACACACACACACACACACACACACACGCACAUACAGAUAAAUUAUUUAAAAAAUUUAGUUUUUCAGACUUGUUUUAAGGUCUAAAAUGUAGUCUUUUCUGUCGUGACUAGUAUUUCAUGUGCAUAUAAACCAAGACAUUCUCUAGUUUUGGCCAUCUACAGGUACAUAGUCGUGAUUCAGCGACCUUUAUGAGGUUUGGAGGAGGUAGGAAUUGCUGUCAUGCGCUAUGCCCACUCACUUGAUAUCACUGAGUACCCUCAGAGGCAGGCUCUGUGUCCUUUCUGUGUCCCAGCAUGCUGCUGUACCCCACAUGGAAGCUCAACAAACACUGGCUGGGUGAGUGGAUGGCACUUGGACGCUGCUAGGCUCCCUUCUUACUUAUGAUUCAGAGGAUAGGCUGCUCGGUGUUAAGCCCUCCCAUGUCACUGUGACUUCCAUGUCUUCAGGACUUCACAUGGCGCUCCCUCAUCACCUCGUUACUGCCCCCUUAUCCUUGAAUGGCGUUGAACUGAACCAAAGGAGUACCAGUGAGGGUGUUACCCCUCGCCGGGCACACUUAGAACCACCUUGAGGCAAUUGGCAUGACACCCUUCUCAGAUAUGGAGGGGUUGUCUAUCUGAAAGCUCUCUACAUCACGAUGCCACACCCUCCCUGCAAAAGGAGGGCCUGCGCACCCAACUCCCAGGCAAGGCUGGUAUUGACACUCUUCCCAGGCUGUCUGUAGGCUACGUGGACACUGACACAAAGAAGUCUCUGGAUCCCUGACUGUCAUCCAGAUGGGCGUGCUUGGUAAGUAGGUUUAGAGGUGUUCUUGUUAACCCAUACCCAACCCAGUGAGAAGGAUCCUUAAGGCCCAGUCCUGCCCUCUGUGUAUCCCUUCCUUCUUGGCUCUCCCCUUCUGUGUAUCCUUCUUGGUUAUCCCCUUCCUCCUCUCCAGAACUGAUCUUACUUCCUUUCCCCUCUCCUAGCUUCCUUGCAGGAUGAGCUUGAUACCGUACUCAUUGACACGGAGUCCUGAGUGACUCACAGAACUUAGAGUUGAAUACACUGCUAGCAGCACUCUCAGUAAGAUGUGGUGGCUCUGCUUUAAAAUGCUCACCAGGACUUGAAGCAGCAGAUAGGAACAGCAGAAUCAUGCAAUCAGUCAUGUUGUUAUUGAUCUGUCUCAGCCAUAAGACCAAUUUUCUAGACACUGUUAAUGGCUUCUCUAAUAGGAGAAGCCCUCAUUGGGAAACCAAGGGAGGUGUGCUGCCCCACCUCAGUCAGAGAAGGAAGCAUUUCACAACCACUAUGUCACUAUGAAUGUGAAUUUUAGGCGGGUAAGGGAACAGAGAAGGACCUAGAGUUUGGGAGUUUGUAUAUAUAUUGAGUUUAGGCUAGCCUAGGCUACAUAUUGAGAGUCUCUCUCUCUCUGUCUGUCUCUGUCUAUGUCUCUGUCUCUGUCUCUCUCUCUGUAUAUAUGUCAAUCAGACAGACAGACAGAUCGUAAGAUAGAUGACAGGAGGGGCCAGAAUGACCUCAUACAACACUCACUUUUAGGCCAAUCAGGGAAGAAGAACAUGAGGGGUGGGAAGAAACCCAGAAGAUGAGACAUCUACAGCCAGAAGAGGUGAUUCUAGGAAGAGGGUGACACCAGAGUGCAUAGCAUGGACAAGGGAGGCCACUGGGGUGGUGGCCAGAGUGUAUCGGGGAUGGGGCUAAGGCUGGCAACUUCAGGUUUCAGUCAACUUCAAGUGCUUCAUGGAUUCAAAGCACACUGAAGUGGGUUGUUGUAUUGAGGGGAAGAGGGAGCAGUGCCGACAUCCACUGUAGACCAUUCCUGGAGGAGACUGCGCUGUGGGACAGUAAGGGCAGGAACUGGAAAGGAUCUCAGGUUCCAGAGAAGUCUGGCUUUUCAUGGGAGGGAUGUGUGGUGUGUUUCAGCGGUGAUGGAAGUGAGGCGGAAGAGGGAGAAGCAGAAUGUGCAGGUGAGGAGGGCUCACCGGAUGCUCAGCUGGUGAGAAGGCCAGGGAGAAUGGGGUACCGGAGCCUUGGAGAAGACUAGGUCACUUCUGCCACCAGAAGAGAGGGCCCGUGGGAAAGUCAAGGAAGAUCCUUCCCGAUGGCACGCCUGUUCUUGGUGACACAGAAAACCUGGAACAGAGUUGGGGUGGAAGGUUUACAGAGGGAAUCUGAAAUCAUCUCUUCAGUGUGGGCAGCUGAUGAGGAAGUGGAAGGGUCUCACUAUGCAGCCUUAUAGCUUUGGCUGGCCUGGAACUCUUGAUGUAGACCAGGCUGAUAAAGACAUGUCUGCCUCCGUGUCCUGAGUGCUGAGAUUAAAGGUGUGUGCUACCAUACCCCCAAAUUAUUUUUAAAGGGUACAUAAAACUGAAAACACCUUAAAGUUGGUUGGUAGUUCUUAACCAUUUUAUUUCUGUUAUACCCAAGGGCAUUUUUUUUUCUUUUUUUUUUUUUUUACCAUAUGUUAGAUCGAUGCUUUCUUAAAAUUCUACUACUGAGGG
This 3849-nucleotide long non-coding RNA is filed under the name Mus musculus (house mouse). RNAcentral's name for it is "long non-coding RNA chr15:82354487-82358336". Lineage: Eukaryota; Metazoa; Chordata; Mammalia; Rodentia; Muridae. The record is from RNAcentral.